Non-coding RNA from Caretta caretta (loggerhead turtle), 4593 nucleotides. The record is from RefSeq and is a predicted model, not a curated record. Lineage: Eukaryota; Metazoa; Chordata; Testudines; Cheloniidae.
GCGUGCGGCGGGAGAGAGGCUGAGGCAGCGCGCGCGGGGGCUCGAGGCGCUGCGGGAGGCCUGCCGCCAGUACCCGCUGUUCUGCUGCAUCCUGCUGGGGCUCAGCGCGGCCACCCUCCUGCUGAACCGGUAUCUUCACAUUUUAAUGAUCUUCUGGUCAUUUGUUGCUGGCGUUGUCACAUUCUACUGCUCAUUAGGACCAGAUUCUCUCUUGCCAAAUAUUCUUUUUACAAUAAAAUAUAAACCCAAGCAAUUAGAACUGCAGGAGCUAUUUCCCCAAGGUCACAGCUGUGCUGUAUGUGGUAAUGUCAAAUGCAAAAGGCAUAGACCUGCAUUGCUUCUAGAAAACUACCAGCCAUGGUUGGAUCUACAAGUGUCUUCCAAGGUUGAUGCCUCUCUCUCAGAGGUGCUUGAACUGGUGCUGGAAAAUUUUGUUUAUCCAUGGUACAGGGAUGUAACUGAUGAUGAGUCCUUCGUUGAUGAGCUGAGAGUAACAUUGAGGUUUUUUGCAUCUGUAUUAAUUCGCAGAAUUCACAAGGUGGACAUUCCAUCUGUUAUAACAAAGAAAAUGCUAAAGGCAGCAAUGAAACACAUAGAAGUCAUAGUUAAAGCCAGGCAGAAAGUGAAAAAUUCAGAAUUUUUACAGCAAGCUGCUUUAGAAGAAUAUGGACCAGAACUCCAUGUGGCUUUGAGGAGUCGAAGAGAUGAACUUCACUAUUUAAGAAAACUUACUGAACUUCUUUUCCCUUAUAUUCUUCCCCCAAAGGCAACAGACUGCAGAUCCCUGGCAUUGCUUAUAAGAGAGAUCCUGUCUGGUUCUGUUUUCCUUCCCUCCAUGGACUUCUUAGCUGACCCGGAUACUGUCAACCAUUUGCUUCUCAAAUUCAUUGAUGAUAGCCCACCUGAAAAAGCAACUGAGCCAGCUGCUUCUUUGAUUCCAUUCCUGCAGAAAUUUGCGGACCCUCGCAAUAAAAAAACAUCUGUCCUGAAGCUGGAAUUGAGGGAGAUUAGAGAACAGCAAGACCUUUUGUUUCGCUUCAUGAACUUUCUGAAACAGGAAGGGGCAGUACAUGUGUUGCAGUUUUGUCUGACCGUAGAGGAAUUUAAUGACAGAAUUUUGCAACCAGAAUUAUCAGAUACUGAAAAAAUGUCUCUUCAUGAAGAGGUGCAGAAAAUCUACAAAACCUAUUGUUUGGAUGAAAGUAUUGACAAAAUUAGAUUUGAUCCUUUUAUCGUGGAAGAGAUUCAAAGAAUUGCUGAAGGUGAAUAUGUAGAUGUUGUGAAACUUCAAACUAUGCGAUGCCUUUUUGAAGCAUAUGAACAUGUUCUUUCCCUCUUAGAGAAUGUCUUUACCCCUAUGUUCUGUCACAGUGAUGAGUAUUUCAGGCAGCUCUUAAGAGGAGCUGAAUCCCCAACACGCAAUUCAAAGUUUAACAGAGGUAGCCUGAGUUUGGAUGACUUUCGGGCCACACAGAAAAGAGGAGAAUCAUUUGCAAUCAGCAGAUUAGGCAGCAAAAUUAGAGGAGUAUUCAAGAGCAACACAAUGGAAGGAGCUGUGCUACCUAACUAUGGUUUAACUGAAGGAGAGGAUGAUUUUAUUGAAGAAGGCAUUAUGGUAAUGGAAGAUGAUUCUCCUGUGGAGACUCUUAGCACUCCCAAUACACCUCGUAACCUUGCUGCAUGGAAAAUUUGCAUUCCAUAUGUGGACUUCUUUGAUGAUCCCUCCCUUGAAAGGAAAGAGAGAAAAGAGAGAAUUCCUGUGUUUUGUAUUGACGUGGAGAGAAACGAUAGAAGGGCAGUUGGACAUGAACCUGAACGCUGGUCUGUCUAUAGAAGAUACCUUGAAUUUUAUGUGCUUGAGUCAAAGUUAACAGAAUUUCAUGGUACCUUUCCUGAUGCUCAACUUCCAUCAAAAAGGAUCAUUGGUCCAAAGAACUAUGAAUUCUUAAAGACAAAGAGGGAAGAGUUUCAGGAGUACCUGCAGAAACUUCUGCAACAUCCAGAGCUGAGUAACAGCCAGCUUUUGGCUGACUUUCUGUCUCCCAAUGGUGGAGAGACGCAAUUUCUCGAUAAAAUGUUGCCUGAUGUAAAUCUUGGGAAAAUUAUAAAAUCUGUUCCAGGAAAGCUAAUGAAAGAGAAAGGUCAGCAUUUGGAGCCAUUCAUCAUGAAUUUCAUUAACUCCUGUGAAUCUCCCAAGCCUAAACCAAGUAGACCAGAGCUUACAAUUCUCAGUCCCACUUCUGAAAACAACAAGAAGCUUUUCAAUGAUCUGUUCAAGAACAAUGCAAACCGCUCUGAGAAUAUAGAGAGAAGACAAAAUCAGAACUACUUUAUAGAGAUGAUAACAGUAGAAGGAGUCUAUGACUACUUAAUGUAUGUUGGUAGAGUUGUUUUCCGUGUUCCUGACUGGCUGCACCACCUCUUGAUGGGGGGAAGAAUUAUCUUCAAAAACACAUUGGAGAUGUACACAGACUACUAUCUACAGUACAAAUUAGAACAGCUAUUUCAGGAGCACCGCUUGGUAUCACUGAUAACACUCCUGAGAGAUGCUGUGUUUUGUGAGAAUACUGAACCUCGCUCACUUCAAGAUAAACAGAAACGAGCAAAGCAGACCUUUGAAGAAAUGAUGAGAUACAUUCCAGAUUUGAUAGGCAAAUGCAUUGGAGAAGACGCCAAGUAUGAAGGCAUCAGACUUCUGUUUGAUGGAAUGCAGCAGCCAGUGCUUAACAAGCAGUUGACUUAUGUUCUGCUGGAUAUUGGGAUACAAGAACUGUUCCCAGAGCUCAAUAAGGUAUUGUGCACCAGUAUGGUCAUGCUCCAUCCAUGCACACGCAAUUGAUACUGACCUCAGUCAAUCCUGUAGGAUCAUCACAGGGACUUUGAAACUGACCCCCACACUGUCACUAUACUGCCUUUUGGGAUUGCACCACCAUCAGUGAGGUGGGAUGCCUUCAGUAAAAAGGACACUAAAACAGAUGCAUGGUCCAAGACACGCAUUGUAUGGACACAUUCCACCAUCCAAGAGGCUGAAGUCCAGAAAGAUACUUGCCUCUGAAUAUCCCGUACUUCAGAAUACCAUUGUGGAAGGAGAGAAAUGCCAAUGAUUCCAGAGAACCUUCAGAACAACUCCCUCCAGACACCUCGAACUGGUUGCUCUAAAUCACGUGAGACCUAGGGUGGUAAAGCCUUGUGACACUAUGACCAAGUGGAAUUUGAUAAAUGACCCCAAAUGUGAAUGUGGAGAGCCUAGUCCAGUGGCUUUCAACCUGCGGGCCACUUGUGGGCCAAUUAGCACACAGCUGCGGCCCAGCUGUCUGCUUAAAAAAAAAAAAUUCAAAAUUUGCUGCUCCAGUCUGGCGGAGGGUGGGGUUGGCUGAGGGGAGACAGCAUCUGGCAGUCCUACUGGAGCGCUCCUGCCAGCAGGGGGCAGGUGAGUGCUGCAGGGGGCAGGGUGUGGGCCACUGGCCUAAUUGACUAAAGAGCUAUGGCCCUAGCUCUGGAAGCUUGAUGCUCUUUUCCCCUCCCACUUGGUGGAAGCUGAGAGGGUCUAGGUCUCUUUCUUGGACUUCAGUGGCUGAAAAAGGGCAGAGAUGAGGCCCCCACUUGACAAAUUCAGCUACUCCCUCUUUGGCAUGUGUGAAGGGGACCUUUUCUCCUAGGAGGCAAAAGCAUUCUAGUGGAGAUAACAGGUCUGGGAUCAGGGUUGGGGGGAGGCAGCAGAAGAAAGACAACUGGUAUGAGAGGGGUGGAAAACAUGGCACAGGAUGAGGGAUAAGAUCUGGAGUCCCAAAGUACCAAGAAAACAGGGGAGAAUAAAAUAGGUGAUAGUCGCUUGAUUCUAGGUUGGGGAUUACAUUUUGAUUUCACCCCCAUUCCUCCAAUCUAUCUGUCUAAUUUCCAUUGAUUUGGUAGCUGAAAUUUUCAUAUAUAGUCUCCCUCCUAAAAAUGCCCUUCCUGCUACCCUUUUUGAAAGAGCCUUGAAGGGAAUCUCUUCUUUUUUCCCUCCAAUAAAUGAGGGGGAGGCGGGGAGCCCUGAAAUUACAAUCUGGUUUUUGCUUAGUUAUUAGUUAACUGUUUUGGUUUUUUUUGGCAAAAGUCUUGACUCAAGUGUCUGGUCUGGCCAGAGUUACUUUAAGACUUCUGAGAUUUAUGUUCAUUAUAAAAAUUAGAGAGUUACAACUAGUUACCUACAGAAUGGUCCCUGUUUAAUGUUGGCUUUCUUUUUGUCCAGUUGAGGAAUUGUAUUAAAACUAAAAAUAUAUUCAGAUUCUGAGCAAGAACAUACAAAAUGAGAGCUCCUCCCAUCAAUAUUUAAAGAGAGGCUGAACCUAGCUUUUGGAGCAUUGUUGUUACAGAACACUCACUGUGACGGGAUCCCUGCAGUGCAGCCUGCGACUGUGGGACCACUGUGCCCCCUUAACUCUCCAGCUGGGGCAGUCUCUCACAAUGCUUUGCUAGUGACAAGCAGCAAACCCCUCCAGGAGCUGUGAUCACUCAACACAACUGCGUGUGGAGCCCCACAGCCAGCUAGAUUGUAUGAAUGCUCCCAGAGCCACUCAUGAAUCACACAGAUAAAGUUUCAGAGGAACAGCC